Non-coding RNA from Schistosoma haematobium, 46 nucleotides. The record is from Rfam. Lineage: Eukaryota; Metazoa; Platyhelminthes; Trematoda; Strigeidida; Schistosomatidae.
GCACUGCUGAAGAGUCCCACAAUAGGACGAAACGGCUGCUCAGUGC